UCUGGACCAUGCCGUGCUGGUGGUUGGUUAUGAUACCACUAUAAAUGGUAAACAUUACUGGCUGGUAAAGAACAGCUGGGGUAAGACGUGGGGUGAUAAUGGAUACAUCAAAAUGUCCAGGAACGAGGGCAACCAAUGUGGUAUUGCCACUGCCGCAUUCUAUCCUUUAGCAACCCCAUUUAGAGCAAAUUCACCCUCCGGUUCACCUUCCGGUUCACCCUCCGGUUCAACCUCGGAUAUUCGUCUUGGAGGCUCUACGUUGUUUAUCUUCAUUGUUCUUGUGUUUGGGCAACUCAGCUGCCAGGGACACUAAAGGGACGCUGCAUGAAAUAUAUUAUAUCACGAAAUUAUAUCACUUGCUAUUCUUUAUAAUAGUUCAUUUUUAGUAGCGUAAAUGU
Paramuricea clavata is the source of this 398-nucleotide non-coding RNA. The record is from the annotation of a GenBank genome assembly. NCBI's taxonomy places the organism in Eukaryota, Metazoa, Cnidaria, Anthozoa, Malacalcyonacea, Plexauridae.